AGAGUUUGAUCCUGGCUCAGGAUGAACGCUGGCGGUAUGCGUAACACAUGCAAGUCGAACGAAGUUUUUCGGAACUUAGUGGCGGACGGGUGAGUAACGCGUGAGAAUCUGCCUUAAGGAUUGGGACAACAGUGGGAAACCGCUGCUAAUACCAAAUAUGCCUUUUAGUGAAACGGGUAAAACCGCCUUAAGAUGAGCUCGCGUCUGAUUAGCUAGUUGGUGUGGUAAGAGCGCACCAAGGCAACGAUCAGUAGCUGGUCUGAGAGGACGACCAGCCACACUGGGACUGAGACACGGCCCAGACUCCUACGGGAGGCAGCAGUGAGGAAUUUUCCGCAAUGGGCGAAAGCCUGACGGAGCAAUACCGCGUGAGGGAGGAAGGUUCUUGGAUUGUAAACCUCUUUUCUCAGAGAAGAAUAAUGACGGUAUCUGAGGAAUAAGCAUCGGCUAACUCCGUGCCAGCAGCCGCGGUAAUACGGAGGAUGCAAGCGUUAUCCGGAAUGAUUGGGCGUAAAGGGUCUGUAGGUGGUUGUUCAAGUCUGCUGUUAAAGCGUCUGGCUUAACCAGAUAAAGGCGGUGGAAACUGAACGACUAGAGUGCGGUAGGGGUAGAGGGAAUUCCCAGUGUAGCGGUGAAAUGCGUAGAUCUUGGGAAGAACACCUGUGGCGAAAGCGCUCUACUGGACCGCGACUGACACUCAUGGACGAAAGCUAGGGGAGCGAAUGGGAUUAGAUACCCUAGUAGUCC
RNAcentral lists this ribosomal RNA (747 nucleotides) under uncultured bacterium. Its description in RNAcentral is "bacterial SSU rRNA". It matches the Rfam family "Bacterial small subunit ribosomal RNA", at positions 8 to 796 of the family's 1533-position model. The record is from RNAcentral.